UUUAUUUUGAAAAGGUAGUUCAGAAAACCAAAAGCUGGAUCGAUAAAAUGGCAGGUGUGCCUCGUUGUUGAAUGAAAAACAUUAGCUUCAGUUGUUUGGCUGAUGAGGGCACAAGCAUAUCCCCUGAAGGUGGUCGAGACUUUCAACUGCUGUUUUCAGGUUUAAUUGAAACUUCCCUAAACAACACAGUAAGAGCUUGUGCUGCUACAACAUAAAACUGUUCCUUUGUGAAGUUAAAGAUGCAUAACACUCUCACGCUGUGUUCACACUUAUCACAGCAUGUAUGGAGACGGAAAUAAAGUAUUGUGAACCAUCAGUAAAAGAGAGUCAGACCAUCAUUCAGCUGGGGAUAAUAUAAGUGGUACAAUUCUUCAUAUAUGUGCAUGCAGAAGUUUUCCUCAUCCACGUGUUUAUUUUAGGCAUAUUGAGGUAUCUCUAGCCUUAUCAUCACCAGGCUAAUGCCUUCUUCAGAGUACAGGCUCCAGAUGUGCGUGCAUUAUAAAUAGAUAGACAUGAUGGAAAUUAGAACUUCAAAAGACGACCUUUGAAUUUCUAUAACACAAACCUGUUUAAGUACUGUUGGCAGCUCAGAUAAUAAAACAAAUGCAGCACCAGUUCAGUGUUGGUUAUGUAAUGGAAAAUUUUACUGCGCUUGUAUUAUCUCUGCUUGUGCAUACUAUUUCUGUGUGUGUGUGAAACUCAGAGCCACAUAUCUGCAGAAUGCUUGUCUUCUCCACCAAGACCCCAAGGAGGCCAUCAGCAUGUGUUUGUGUCUUAUCUCAUGUGAUUUCACUAUUCACUCAGUUCGGACACAUAGUUCACAUAGGCACACACAACUAACAUAGUUUUCCCUCACACACACACACGCAUGCACACACACGCCUGCAACUUUUUUAUUGUUCAUUCCCUCUGCAGAAUGCUCAUCGCACACUGUAUUACUCUGACCUUCCUUGCAAGGAAUAAAAUCCUCCUAAAAGAC
Long non-coding RNA from Pleuronectes platessa (European plaice), 979 nucleotides. RefSeq lists it as uncharacterized. Lineage: Eukaryota; Metazoa; Chordata; Actinopteri; Pleuronectiformes; Pleuronectidae. The record is from RefSeq and is a predicted model, not a curated record. The transcript is spliced from 3 exons.